AAAGUCGUAACAAGGUUUCCGUAGGUGAACCUGCGGAAGGAUCAUUAGUGAUUGGCCUCUGGCCUGAUUCAUAAUCCUGACACCUCUGUGAACCGUUGGCCCUCGGGCCGUUUUCAAUAACAAACUCUUGUGUGAUUGAACGUGGAUGUAUCUUAACAGUGACAAAACUUUCAACAAUGGAUCUCUUGGCUCUC
Molecule: unclassified non-coding RNA, 194 nt
Filed under: Basidiomycota sp.
Lineage: Eukaryota; Fungi; Basidiomycota
Description: partial contains small subunit ribosomal RNA, internal transcribed spacer 1, and 5.8S ribosomal RNA
Rfam family: Eukaryotic small subunit ribosomal RNA (bases 1-47)
Source: RNAcentral